This 845-nucleotide ribosomal RNA is filed under the name uncultured bacterium. RNAcentral's name for it is "bacterial SSU rRNA". It matches the Rfam family "Bacterial small subunit ribosomal RNA", at positions 28 to 889 of the family's 1533-position model. The record is from RNAcentral.
GACGAACGCUGGCGGCGUGCCUAACACAUGCAAGUCGAGCGAGGGAAACUCUUCGGAGUGGAACUAGCGGCGGACGGGUGAGUAACACGUGGGCAACCUGCCUCGUAGAGGGGAAUAGCCUUUCGAAAGGAAGAUUAAUACCCCAUAAGAUUGUAGUUCCGCAUGGAAUAGCAAUUAAAGGAGUAAUCCGCUACGAGAUGGGCCCGCGUCGCAUUAGCUAGUUGGUAAGGUAAUGGCUUACCAAGGCGACGAUGCGUAGCCGACCUGAGAGGGUGAUCGGCCACAUUGGGACUGAGACACGGCCCAGACUCCUACGGGAGGCAGCAGUGGGGAAUAUUGCACAAUGGGGGAAACCCUGAUGCAGCAACGCCGCGUGAGUGAUGACGGUCUUCGGAUUGUAAAGCUCUGUCUUCAGGGACGAUAAUGACGGUACCUGAGGAGGAAGCCACGGCUAACUACGUGCCAGCAGCCGCGGUAAUACGUAGGUGGCGAGCGUUGUCCGGAUUUACUGGGCGUAAAGGGAGCGUAGGCGGAUUUUUAAGUGGGAUGUGAAAUACUCGGGCUCAACCUGAGUGCUGCAUUCCAAACUGGAAAUCUAGAGUGCUGGAGAGGAAAGUGGAAUUCCUAGUGUAGCGAUGAGAUGCGUAGAGAUUAGGAAGAACACCAGUGGCGAAGGCGACUUUCUGGACUGUAACUGACGCUGAGGCUCGAAAGCGUGGGGAGCGAACAGGAUUAGAUACCCUGGUAGUCCACGCCGUAAACGAUGAAAUACUAGGUGUAGGGGUUGUCAUGACCUCUGUGCCGCCGCUAACGCAUUAAGUAUUCCGUCUGGGGAGUACGGUCGC